GGCGUGCCUAAUACAUGCAAGUCGAGCGGCGGGAAGCGGACAAUCACCCGUUCGGGGUGUGCGUCCGUGGAACGAGCGGCGGAUGGGUGAGUAUCACGGUGGGCAACCUGCCUGUAAGAGUUGGGAUAACUCGCGGAAACGUGAGCUAAUACCGAAUGAAGUCUUUCACCGCCGUGGUGAAAGGAUGAAAGAUGGCUCUUGAGCUAUCACUUACAGAUGGGCCCGCGGCGCAUUAGCUAGUUGGGUGGGGUAAAGGCCUACCAAGGCGACGAUGCGUAGCCGACCUGAGAGGGUGAUCGGCCACACUGGGACUGAGACACGGCCCAGACUCCUACGGGAGGCAGCAGUAGGGAAUCUUCCGCAAUGGACGAAAGUCCGACGGAGCAACGCCGCGUGAGUGAUGAAGGUCUUCGGAUCGUAAAACUCUGUUGUCAGGGAAGAACAAGUUGUGUUCUAACAGGACAUGACCUUGACGGUACCUGACCAGAAAGCCCCGGCUAACUACGUGCCAGCCGCAGC
Molecule: ribosomal RNA, 519 nt
Filed under: uncultured bacterium
Lineage: Bacteria
Description: bacterial SSU rRNA
Rfam family: Bacterial small subunit ribosomal RNA
Source: RNAcentral